AACGAACGCUGGCGGCAGGCCUAACACAUGCAAGUCGAGCGCGUAGCAAUACGAGCGGCAGACGGGUGAGUAACGCGUGGGAAUCUACCCAUCCCUACGGAACAACUCCGGGAAACUGGAGCUAAUACCGUAUACGCCCUAACGGGGAAAGAUUUAUCGGGGAUGGAUGAGCCCGCGUUGGAUUAGCUAGUUGGUGGGGUAAAGGCCUACCAAGGCGACGAUCCAUAGCUGGUCUGAGAGGAUGAUCAGCCACAUUGGGACUGAGACACGGCCCAAACUCCUACGGGAGGCAGCAGUGGGGAAUAUUGGACAAUGGGCGCAAGCCUGAUCCAGCCAUGCCGCGUGAAUGAUGAAGGCCUUAGGGUUGUAAAGUUCUUUCACCGGAGAAGAUAAUGACGGUAUCCGGAGAAGAAGCCCCGGCUAACUUCGUGCCAGCAGCCGCCGUAA
This 447-nucleotide ribosomal RNA is filed under the name uncultured bacterium. RNAcentral's name for it is "partial 16S ribosomal RNA". It matches the Rfam family "Bacterial small subunit ribosomal RNA", at positions 29 to 523 of the family's 1533-position model. The record is from RNAcentral.